This 261-nucleotide long non-coding RNA is filed under the name Phoenix dactylifera (date palm). RNAcentral describes it as "long non-coding RNA (PDAC_LNC017460)". The record is from RNAcentral. Lineage: Eukaryota; Viridiplantae; Streptophyta; Magnoliopsida; Arecales; Arecaceae.
CCCUUGAUUAUGACCCUCCACAAGGCAUAAUCUUGUGCUUGAAUAAAGAUCUUCAUUCUAGUCUUCCAAUAGGUAUAAUUUGUCCCAUUGAAGAGUGGAGGUCUAUUGGUUGCUUGCCCCUCAGCAGGAACAUUGUUGAAGGGUGUUGCCAUCUAGAUCUUUGGCCAAGACGGUUAGGUCUUCAAGAAAUACACAGAGCACCUGCUUUGAUACCACUUGUUGCCCAGAGAUGGUCACCCAAGAGGGGGGUGAAUUGGGUGU